RNAcentral lists this long non-coding RNA (553 nucleotides) under Penaeus japonicus. RNAcentral's name for it is "uncharacterized LOC122244493". Lineage: Eukaryota; Metazoa; Arthropoda; Malacostraca; Decapoda; Penaeidae. The record is from RNAcentral.
GUGAUGACCAGCGGGUAAGCGAGUGAGUGAGCGAGCGGCAGUACCCGACUACCCGCGGCUGACCCGGCCCGCCUCGGCUCCAUUCUGCCGCCACGCCAUAUUCGCAGCUCUGCUGGCGCGUGACUCGUGCGAAGUGCCACUAUGUCACGCCCGACGAUAUGACUGACAGAUUAUGAUAAGAGAGACUAGAGCGGUGUGAUAAACAGUGUAUGGAAUAAAUUGAUGCUGAGAGAGGACGAGAGAGAGAAAUAACGAAAGAAAUAAGAGAUAGAAAGAGACGGAGAGACCGUGAGGAGCCAGAGGAGGAGUCGAUAGACGAAGCCGCAGACCUUCAAGUACAAAAUCGUUUUCCGACCAGCCGAGGCAGUGUCCAAAAUGGCAUACGGGUACAACUAUGGCCAGGGCAUGAGUGAGGCUGAGCGGAAGCUGGAGGCCCUCACGCAGCAGAUCGAGGAGGAGAUGGAGAAGCAGGAGCAGGAAGGGGAAUAUUACGGCAUAUGUCACACGUGUGGGGACAAAGUGACGGUGGUGGGCAGGCAUGCCAGGCCAUGGG